RNAcentral lists this ribosomal RNA (301 nucleotides) under uncultured bacterium. RNAcentral's name for it is "partial 16S ribosomal RNA". It matches the Rfam family "Bacterial small subunit ribosomal RNA", at positions 509 to 809 of the family's 1533-position model. The record is from RNAcentral.
CAGUCGCCGCGGUAAUACGUAGGUGGCAAGCGUUGUCCGGAAUUAUUGGGCGUAAAGGGCUCGCAGGCGGUUUCUUAAGUCUGAUGUGAAAGCCCCCGGCUCAACCGUGGAGGGUCAUUGGAAACUGGGAAACUUGAGUGCAGAAGAGGAGAGUGGAAUUCCACGUGUAGCAGUGAAAUGCGUAGAGAUGUGGAGGAACACCAGUGGCGAAGGCGGCUUUUUGGCCUGUAACUGACACUGAGGCGCGAAAGCGUGGGGAGCGAACAGGAUUAGAUACCCCCGUAGUCCCUGUCUCUUAUAA